RNAcentral lists this ribosomal RNA (1435 nucleotides) under uncultured organism. RNAcentral describes it as "16S ribosomal RNA". It matches the Rfam family "Bacterial small subunit ribosomal RNA". The record is from RNAcentral.
CGCUGGCGGCGUGCUUAACACAUGCAAGUCGAACGGAAAGGCCCUGCUUUUGUGGGGUGCUCGAGUGGCGAACGGGUGAGUAACACGUGAGUAACCUGCCCUUGACUUUGGGAUAACUUCAGGAAACUGGGGCUAAUACCGGAUAGGAGCUCCUGCUGCAUGGUGGGGGUUGGAAAGUUUCGGCGGUUGGGGAUGGACUCGCGGCUUAUCAGCUUGUUGGUGGGGUAGUGGCUUACCAAGGCUUUGACGGGUAGCCGGCCUGAGAGGGUGACCGGCCACAUUGGGACUGAGAUACGGCCCAGACUCCUACGGGAGGCAGCAGUGGGGAAUAUUGCACAAUGGGCGGAAGCCUGAUGCAGCAACGCCGCGUGCGGGAUGACGGCCUUCGGGUUGUAAACCGCUUUCGCCUGUGACGAAGCGUGAGUGACGGUAAUGGGUAAAGAAGCACCGGCUAACUACGUGCCAGCAGCCGCGGUGAUACGUAGGGUGCGAGCGUUGUCCGGAUUUAUUGGGCGUAAAGGGCUCGUAGGUGGUUGAUCGCGUCGGAAGUGUAAUCUUGGGGCUUAACCCUGAGCGUGCUUUCGAUACGGGUUGACUUGAGGAAGGUAGGGGAGAAUGGAAUUCCUGGUGGAGCGGUGGAAUGCGCAGAUAUCAGGAGGAACACCAGUGGCGAAGGCGGUUCUCUGGGCCUUUCCUGACGCUGAGGAGCGAAAGCGUGGGGAGCGAACAGGCUUAGAUACCCUGGUAGUCCACGCUGUAAACGGUGGGUACUAGGUGUGGGGUCCAUUCCACGGGUUCCGUGCCGUAGCUAACGCUUUAAGUACCCCGCCUGGGGAGUACGGCCGCAAGGCUAAAACUCAAAGGAAUUGACGGGGCCCCGCACAAGCGGCGGAGCAUGCGGAUUAAUUCGAUGCAACGCGUAGAACCUUACCUGGGUUUGACAUGGAUCGGGAGUGCUCAGAGAUGGGUGUGCCUCUUUUGGGGUCGGUUCACAGGUGGUGCAUGGCUGUCGUCAGCUCGUGUCGUGAGAUGUUGGGUUAAGUCCCGCAACGAGCGCAACCCUUGUUCACUGUUGCCAGCACGUUAUGGUGGGGACUCAGUGGAGACCGCCGGGGUCAACUCGGAGGAAGGUGGGGAUGACGUCAGGUCAUCAUGCCCCUUAUGUCCAGGGCUUCACGCAUGCUACAAUGGCUGGUACAGAGAGUGGCGAGCCUGUGAGGGUGAGCGAAUCUCGGAAAGCCGGUCUCAGUUCGGAUUGGGGUCUGCAACUCGACCUCAUGAAGUCGGAGUCGCUAGUAAUCGCAGAUCAGCAACGCUGCGGUGAAUACGUUCCCGGGGCUUGUACACACCGCCCGUCAAGUCAUGAAAGUUGGUAACACCCGAAGCCGGUGGCCUAACCGUUGUGGGGGAGCCGUCGAAGGUGGGACUGGUGAUU